This 70-nucleotide transfer RNA is filed under the name Bilobella aurantiaca. Its description in RNAcentral is "tRNA-Met". Lineage: Eukaryota; Metazoa; Arthropoda; Collembola; Poduromorpha; Neanuridae. The record is from RNAcentral.
UAAAAGAUAAGCUAAUAAAGCUUGCGGGUUCAUACCCCGCCUAUAGAGUUUCCAUCAUCUCUUCUUUUAA